RNAcentral lists this unclassified non-coding RNA (289 nucleotides) under fungal sp. Its description in RNAcentral is "partial internal transcribed spacer region". The stretch from base 1 to 46 matches the Rfam family "Eukaryotic small subunit ribosomal RNA", at positions 1786 to 1831 of the family's 1831-position model. Lineage: Eukaryota; Fungi. The record is from RNAcentral.
AAGUCGUAACAAGGUUUCCGUAGGUGAACCUGCGGAAGGAUCAUUACCAAAUCCAAAUACCCAAACCCCAUGUGAACUAUUGUAUAGUCUGUCUUUGGGAGAAAAGCAUCCAAGAAAAAUUAGCUUUUAUUAGCUCUUUUUUCUUGGAUUUUUCUCCCAAUAGAGUCCGGCGCAACUUUAUUGUUGUGUCCAGAUUCGAAACCCUAAACCACUUGAUUUUUCUGUUGGAAUUUUCUUUUUAUAAUUUUAAAUAAAAGACAACUUUUAACGGCGGAUCUCUUGGCUCGUG